RNAcentral lists this ribosomal RNA (861 nucleotides) under human gut metagenome. Its description in RNAcentral is "bacterial SSU rRNA". It matches the Rfam family "Bacterial small subunit ribosomal RNA", at positions 332 to 1217 of the family's 1533-position model. The record is from RNAcentral.
CAGACUCCUACGGGAGGCAGCAGUAGGGAAUUUUCGGCAAUGGACGGAAGUCUGACCGAGCAACGCCGCGUGAAUGAUGAAGUAUUUCGGUAUGUAAAGUUCUUUUAUUUGGGAAGAAAAAACAAAUUGACGGUACCAAAUGAAUAAGCCCCGGCUAACUACGUGCCAGCAGCCGCGGUAAUACGUAGGGGGCAAGCGUUAUCCGGAAUUAUUGGGCGUAAAGGGUGCGUAGGCGGGUUAUCAAGUCUUUGGUUAAAAUGCGGUGCUCAACGCCGUAGUGCCAAAGAAACUGAUAGUCUAGAGUAUGGUAGAAGUGAGUGGAACUCCAUGUGUAGCGGUAAAAUGCGUAAAUAUAUGGAAGAACACCAGUGGCGAAGGCGGCUCACUAGGCCAAUACUGACGCUGAGACACGAAAGCGUGGGGAGCAAACAGGAUUAGAUACCCUGGUAGUCCACGCCCUAAACGAUGAGUACUAAGUGUAGCCAGAAGGCUGUGCUGAAGUUAACGCAUUAAGUACUCCGCCUGAGUAGUACGUACGCAAGUAUGAAACUUAAAGGAAUUGACGGGAUCCCGCACAAGCGGUGGAGCAUGUUGUUUAAUUCGACGAUACGCGAAGAACCUUACCAGGUCUUGACAUACUCGGCAAAUCUAUAGAGAUAUAGAGGAGGUUAACCGGGAUACAGGUGGUGCAUGGUUGUCGUCAGCUCGUGUCGUGAGAUGUUAGGUUAAGUCCUGCAACGAGCGCAACCCUUAUUGCUAGUUACCAUCAUUAAGUUGGGGACUCUAGCGAGACUGCCGGUGAUAAACUGGAGGAAGGCGGGGAUGACGUCAAAUCAUCAUGCCCUUUAUGACCUGGGCUAC